CAACGUGGGUAAUCUGCCCUGGAGUGGGGGAAUAACACCGGGAAAACCCGGUGCUAAUACCGCAUACGAUAGCAAGGUCUGCGGACUUUGCUAUGAAAGGAGCAAUUCGCUCUAGGAGGAGCCCGCGGCUGAUUAGCUAGUUGGUGAGGUAAUGGCUCACCAAGGCUUCGAUCAGUAUCCGGUCUGAGAGGACGGUCGGACACACUGGAACUGAGACACGGUCCAG
This 226-nucleotide ribosomal RNA is filed under the name uncultured bacterium. Its description in RNAcentral is "partial 16S ribosomal RNA". It matches the Rfam family "Bacterial small subunit ribosomal RNA", at positions 113 to 334 of the family's 1533-position model. The record is from RNAcentral.